CGAAGGUGGCCUGUGAGGGUUGCUGGAGGUAUCAGAAGUGCGAAUGCUGACAUAAGUAACGAUAAAGCGGGUGAAAAGCCCGCUCGCCGGAAGACCAAGGGUUCCUGUCCAACGUUAAUCGGGGCAGGGUGAGUCGACCCCUAAGGCGAGGCCGAAAGGCGUAGUCGAUGGGAAACGGGUUAAUAUUCCCGUACUUGGUGUUACUGCGAAGGGGGGACGGAGAAGGCUAUGUUGGCCGGGCGACGGUUGUCCCGGUUUAAGCGUGUAGGUGUGUGUUCCAGGUAAAUCCGGUUCACUUUAACACUGAGGCGUGAUGACGAGGCACUACGGUGCUGAAGCAACAAAUGCCCUGCUUCCAGGAAAAGCCUCUAAGCAUCAGGUAACAUCAAAUCGUACCCCAAACCGACACAGGUGGUCAGGUAGAGAAUACCAAGGCGCUUGAGAGAACUCGGGUGAAGGAACUAGGCAAAAUGGUGCCGUAACUUCGGGAGAAGGCACGCUGACACGUAGGUGAAGUGAUUUACUCAUGGAGCUGAAGUCAGUCGAAGAUACCAGCUGGCUGCAACUGUUUAUUAAAAACACAGCACUGUGCAAACACGAAAGUGGACGUAUACGGUGUGACGCCUGCCCGGUGCCGGAAGGUUAAUUGAUGGGGUCAGCGCAAGCGAAGCUCCUGAUCGAAGCCCCGGUAAACGGCGGCCGUAACUAUAACGGUCCUAAGGUAGCGAAAUUCCUUGUCGGGUAAGUUCCGACCUGCACGAAUGGCGUAAUGAUGGCCAGGCUGUCUCCACCCGAGACUCAGUGAAAUUGAACUCGCUGUGAAGAUGCAGUGUACCCGCGGCAAGACGGAAAGACCCCGUGAACCUUUACUAUAGCUUGACACUGAACAUUGAGCCUUGAUGUGUAGGAUAGGUGGGAGGCUUUGAAGUGUGGACGCCAGUCUGCAUGGAGCCGGCCUUGAAAUACCACCCUUUAAUGUUUGAUGUUCUAACGUGGACCCGUGAUCCGGGUUGCGGACAGUGUCUGGUGGGUAGUUUGACUGGGGCGGUCUCCUCCUAAAGAGUAACGGAGGAGCACGAAGGUUGGCUAAUCCUGGUCGGACAUCAGGAGGUUAGUGCAAUGGCAUAAGCCAGCUUGACUGCGAGCGUGACGGCGCGAGCAGGUGCGAAAGCAGGUCAUAGUGAUCCGGUGGUUCUGAAUGGAAGGGCCAUCGCUCAACGGAUAAAAGGUACUCCGGGGAUAACAGGCUGAUACCGCCCAAGAGUUCAUAUCGACGGCGGUGUUUGGCACCUCGAUGUCGGCUCAUCACAUCCUGGGGCUGAAGUAGGUCCCAAGGGUAUGGCUGUUCGCCAUUUAAAGUGGUACGCGAGCUGGGUUUAGAACGUCGUGAGACAGUUCGGUCCCUAUCUGCCGUGGGCGCUGGAGAACUGAGGGGGGCUGCUCCUAGUACGAGAGGACCGGAGUGGACGCAUCACUGGUGUUCGGGUUGUCAUGCCAAUGGCACUGCCCGGUAGCUAAAUGCGGAAGAGAUAAGUGCUGAAAGCAUCUAAGCACGAAACUUGCCCCGAGAUGAGUUCUCCCUGAGACUUUAGGUCUCCUGAAGGAACGUUGAAGACGACGACGUUGAUAGGCCGGGUGUGUAAGCGCAGCGAUGCGUUGAGCUAACCGGUACUAAUGAACCGUGAGGCUUAACCUUACAACGCCGAAG
RNAcentral lists this ribosomal RNA (1708 nucleotides) under Salmonella enterica. RNAcentral's name for it is "partial 23S ribosomal RNA". It matches the Rfam family "Bacterial large subunit ribosomal RNA", at positions 1251 to 2925 of the family's 2925-position model. Lineage: Bacteria; Pseudomonadati; Pseudomonadota; Gammaproteobacteria; Enterobacterales; Enterobacteriaceae. The record is from RNAcentral.